GCUGGCGGCAGGCCUAACACAUGCAAGUCGAGCGGUAGAGAGAAGCUUGCCUCUCUUGAGAGCGGCGGACGGGUGAGUAAUGCCUAGGAAUCUGCCUGGUAGUGGGGGAUAACGUUCGGAAACGGACGCUAAUACCGCAUACGUCCUACGGGAGAAAGCAGGGGACCUUCGGGCCUUGCGCUAUCAGAUGAGCCUAGGUCGGAUUAGCUAGUUGGUGAGGUAAUGGCUCACCAAGGCGACGAUCCGUAACUGGUCUGAGAGGAUGAUCAGUCACACUGGAACUGAGACACGGUCCAGACUCCUACGGGAGGCAGCAGUGGGGAAUAUUGGACAAUGGGCGAAAGCCUGAUCCAGCCAUGCCGCGUGUGUGAAGAAGGUCUUCGGAUUGUAAAGCACUUUAAGUUGGGAGGAAGGGUUGUAGAUUAAUACUCUGCAAUUUUGACGUUACCGACAGAAUAAGCACCGGCUAACUCUGUGCCAGCAGCCGCGGUAAUACAGAGGGUGCAAGCGUUAAUCGGAAUUACUGGGCGUAAAGCGCGCGUAGGUGGUUUGUUAAGUUGGAUGUGAAAUCCCCGGGCUCAACCUGGGAACUGCAUUCAAAACUGACUGACUAGAGUAUGGUAGAGGGUGGUGGAAUUUCCUGUGUAGCGGUGAAAUGCGUAGAUAUAGGAAGGAACACCAGUGGCGAAGGCGACCACCUGGACUAAUACUGACACUGAGGUGCGAAAGC
Molecule: ribosomal RNA, 730 nt
Filed under: uncultured bacterium
Lineage: Bacteria
Description: bacterial SSU rRNA
Rfam family: Bacterial small subunit ribosomal RNA
Source: RNAcentral